UACGGGGGGGGCAAGCGUUGUACGGAAUUACUGGGCGUAAAGGGCUCGUAGGCGGCCAACUAAGUCAGACGUGAAAUCCCUCGGCUUAACCGGGGAACUGCGUCUGAUACUGGAUGGCUUGAGGUUGGGAGAGGGAUGCGGAAUUCCAGGUGUAGCGGUGAAAUGCGUAGAUAUCUGGAGGAACACCUAUGGCGAAAGCAGGUACCUGGGCCAUUACUGACGCUGAGCUGCGAAAGCUAGGGGAGCAAACAGG
RNAcentral lists this ribosomal RNA (253 nucleotides) under uncultured prokaryote. RNAcentral's name for it is "partial 16S ribosomal RNA". It matches the Rfam family "Bacterial small subunit ribosomal RNA", at positions 524 to 776 of the family's 1533-position model. The record is from RNAcentral.